Molecule: small nucleolar RNA, 133 nt
Organism: Fukomys damarensis (Damara mole-rat)
Lineage: Eukaryota; Metazoa; Chordata; Mammalia; Rodentia; Bathyergidae
Gene: SNORA71
Rfam family: Small nucleolar RNA SNORA71
About the family: The members of this family belong to the H/ACA class of snoRNAs which bind a number of proteins (including dyskerin, Gar1p and Nop10p) to form snoRNP complexes. This class of snoRNAs are thought to guide the sites of modification of uridines to pseudouridines by forming direct base pairing interactions with substrate RNAs. This family includes U71 (SNORA71), ACA39 (SNORA39) and ACA60 (SNORA60).
Source: Ensembl
UCCUGUAUCCGAAAGUGAUCUUGGGUUGCCUGUGCCUCGAUCAUUGGUAGUGCAGGGAGAGGAACAUUGAAAGACUUUUCCCCACAUUCGGAGGCACCACCUCAUCACUUCCGAACCCUGGAGCUUUCGCACA